This 440-nucleotide ribosomal RNA is filed under the name uncultured bacterium. RNAcentral describes it as "partial 16S ribosomal RNA". It matches the Rfam family "Bacterial small subunit ribosomal RNA", at positions 338 to 795 of the family's 1533-position model. The record is from RNAcentral.
CCUACGGGAGGCAGCAGUGGGGAAUAUUGCACAAUGGGGGAAACCCUGAUGCAGCGACGCCGCGUGAGUGAAGAAGGAAUUCGUUAUGUAAAGCUCUAUCAGCAGGGAAGAAAAUGACGGUAUCUGAGUAAAAAGCCCCGGCUAACUACGUGCCAGCAGCCGCGGUAAUACGUAGGGGGCAAGCGUUAUCCGGAUUUACAGGGUGUAAAGGGAGCGUAGACGGCAGUGCAAGUAUGGAGUGAAAGGCGGGGGCUCAACCCCCGGAAUGCUCUGGAAACUGUACUGCUUGAGUGCAGGAGAGGCAAGCGGAAUUCCGUGUGUAGCGGUGAAAUGCGUAGAUAUUAGGAGGAACACCAGUGGCGAAGGCGGCUUACUGGACUGUAACUGACGUUGAGGCGCGAAAGCGUGGGGAGCAAACAGGAUUAGAUACCCUUGUAGUC